RNAcentral lists this ribosomal RNA (324 nucleotides) under uncultured eukaryote. RNAcentral describes it as "partial 18S ribosomal RNA". It matches the Rfam family "Eukaryotic small subunit ribosomal RNA", at positions 1470 to 1796 of the family's 1831-position model. The record is from RNAcentral.
CCCUUAGAUGUCCUGGGCUGCACGCGCGCUACACUGAUGCAUUCAACGAGUUUCUUCCUGGUCCGAGAGGAAUGGGUAACCUUUUGAAAGUGCAUCGUGAUAGGGAUAGACUAUUGCAAUUAUUGGUCUUCAACGAGGAAUUCCUAGUAGACGUAGUUCAUCAGACUGCAUCGAUUACGUCCCUGCCCUUUGUACACACCGCCCGUCGCUCCUACCGAUUGAAUGCUCAGGUGAGCCAUUCGGACUUUCAUCAUGCUGGUUUCCAGUUUUGAUGAAGGAAAGUCUUGCGAACCUUAUCAUUUAGAGGGAGGAGAAGUCGUAACA